RNAcentral lists this long non-coding RNA (1053 nucleotides) under Anolis carolinensis (green anole). RNAcentral describes it as "lncRNA (ENSACAG00000041367.1)". The record is from RNAcentral. Lineage: Eukaryota; Metazoa; Chordata; Lepidosauria; Squamata; Anolidae.
AAGUUGUUUUUAAAUUGACAUUUUUGUCACUUUUUAAUAAGAGGCCAUAUAUUGCUGCCUGAAAUCAAUUAGCACUUAAGCAUUAAUUAAAUCAUAGCCACUUAACACUAAUGUGUUGCCAAUUCUUUCAGCUAAUGCUUUCAUUGCCUAGGUAAUGAAAUAAAAAUGGAAUGCAAAACUGAAUACUGGUAGAUUUUACUAUCACAUGUACUACAACUAAAGGAAAUGAGAUAUUGAAGGAGAUACAAGACAUGUCAUUAACAGCAAUGCACUUUUAUGUUCAAUGGAAAGGUCUUACAUAUACUAGGUCCUAACUUUUGAAAAUAAUAUAUUGUUCUUGUCACAGCAAAGUAAUUGAGGAAACAACCUUCUCAGUGAAAUGUCCUUUCAUAACUCAUUUAGAUUUGUCAUGUGUUGAAGUACAAACUGCUUCCUUUGUGGGAAAUACAUUAUGUGUCAUAUUUGCUUUGAGAAAGUGCUUCUCUGUUUGGCUCCAGAUAAUAUAAAACAGACAAGAUCUUCCUAUCUCUAGUUCAUAUCUCACCUGAAUAUGCAAGCCCAGUGUGGAAUAUAUCUCACCGUGUUAAAACAGUGGAUGUGGGUCUUAAUGAGACAUGCUGCAUUAUCACCGGAUGUCUACAUUCUACACCACUGGAGAAAUUAUACUGCUUAGCCGCCAUUGCACCACCUGACAUCUACUGGGAAGUAGCGGCCAACAGUGAAAGGACCAAGGCAUUGACAUCUCCAGCCCAUCUCCUGUUCGGAUAUCAGCCAGCACGCCAACACCUUAAAUCAAGAAAUAAGCUUUCUAAGAUCUACAGAGAUACUCGCAGGAACACCUCAGCAAGUGAGAGUCCAAAAGUGGUAGGCUAAAACCCAGAACCUUAAUCAGUGGCUGAUGCCGGAUGAGAGAUUCCCCCCGGGCACACAGAAGACUGAGCAACUUGGAAGGCGCUGAACAGACUGCGCUCUGGCAUCACGAGAUGCAGAGCCAACCUGAAGAAAUGGGGCUAUAAAGUGGAGUCCGCAACAUACUACUGUGGAGAAGAGCAA